This 2932-nucleotide ribosomal RNA is filed under the name Proteus mirabilis. Its description in RNAcentral is "bacterial LSU rRNA". It matches the Rfam family "Bacterial large subunit ribosomal RNA". Lineage: Bacteria; Pseudomonadati; Pseudomonadota; Gammaproteobacteria; Enterobacterales; Morganellaceae. The record is from RNAcentral.
GGGUUGUGAGGUUAAGCGAAUAAGCGUACACGGUGGAUGCCUAGGCAAUCAGAGGCGAUGAAGGACGUGCUAAUCUGCGAAAAGCGUCGGUAAGGUGAUAUGAACCGUUAUACCCGACGAUAUCCGAAUGGGGAAACCCAGUAUCCAAUGGAUACUAUCAUUAACUGAAUCCAUAGGUUAAUGAGGCGAACCGGGAGAACUGAAACAUCUCAGUACCCCGAGGAAAAGAAAUCAACCGAGAUUCCCCUAGUAGCGGCGAGCGAACGGGGAGCAGCCCAGAGUCUUAAUCAAUAGCAGUGUCAGGAGAACGGUCUGGAAAGUCCGGCAGUAAAGGGUGAUAGCCCCGUAUCUGAAGAUGCUGUUAUUGUGAACUCGACGAGUAGGGCGGGACACGUGUUAUCCUGUCUGAAUAUGGGGGGACCAUCCUCCAAGGCUAAAUACUCCUGAUUGACCGAUAGUGAACCAGUACCGUGAGGGAAAGGCGAAAAGAACCCCGGCGAGGGGAGUGAAAAAGAACCUGAAACCGUGUACGUACAAGCAGUAGGAGCCUCUUUAUGGGGUGACUGCGUACCUUUUGUAUAAUGGGUCAGCGACUUAUAUUCUGUAGCGAGGUUAACCGUAUAGGGGAGCCGUAGGGAAACCGAGUCUUAACUGGGCGAAUGAGUUGCAGGGUAUAGACCCGAAACCCGGUGAUCUAUCCAUGGGCAGGUUGAAGGUUGGGUAACACUAACUGGAGGACCGAACCGACUAAUGUUGAAAAAUUAGCGGAUGACUUGUGGAUGGGGGUGAAAGGCCAAUCAAACCGGGAGAUAGCUGGUUCUCCCCGAAAGCUAUUUAGGUAGCGCCUCGUGAACUCAUCUUCGGGGGUAGAGCACUGUUUCGACUAGGGGGUCAUCCCGACUUACCAACUCGAUGCAAACUGCGAAUACCGAAGAAUGUUAUCACGGGAGACACACGGCGGGUGCUAACGUCCGUCGUGAAGAGGGAAACAACCCAGACCGCCAGCUAAGGUCCCAAAGUCAUGGUUAAGUGGGAAACGAAGUGGGAAGGCUCAGACAGCCAGGAUGUUGGCUUAGAAGCAGCCAUCAUUUAAAGAAAGCGUAAUAGCUCACUGGUCGAGUCGGCCCGCGCGGAAGAUGUAACGGGGCUAAACCAUGCACCGAAGCUGCGGCAGCGACACAUAGUGUUGUUGGGUAGGGGAGCGUUCUGUAAGCCUGCGAAGGUGUACUGUGAGGUAUGCUGGAGGUAUCAGAAGUGCGAAUGCUGACAUAAGUAACGAUAAUGCGGGUGAAAAACCCGCACGCCGGAAGACCAAGGGUUCCUGUCCAACGUUAAUCGGGGCAGGGUGAGUCGACCCCUAAGGCGAGGCUGAAAAGCGUAGUCGAUGGGAAACGGGUUAAUAUUCCCGUACUGGUGGUAACUGCGAUGGGGGAACGGAGAAGGCUAGGUUGUCCGGGCGACGGUCGUCCCGGUUCAAGCAGGUAGGCAGAGUGAUUAGGCAAAUCCGGUCACUUAAUGCUGAGAUGUGAUGACGAACCACCAAGGUGGUGAAGCAAUUGAUGCCCCGCUUCCAGGAAAAGCCUCUAAGCUUCAGGUUACCAACAAUCGUACCCCAAACCGACACAGGUGGUCAGGUAGAGAAUACUCAGGCGCUUGAGAGAACUCGGGUGAAGGAACUAGGCAAAAUGGUGCCGUAACUUCGGGAGAAGGCACGCUGGCGGUAGGUAAAGUCCCUCGCGGACGGCGCCCAAGCCAGUCGAAGAUACCAGCUGGCUGCAACUGUUUAUUAAAAACACAGCACUGUGCAAACACGAAAGUGGACGUAUACGGUGUGACGCCUGCCCGGUGCUGGAAGGUUAAUUGAUGGGGUCAGCCGUAAGGCGAAGCUCCUGAUCGAAGCCCCAGUAAACGGCGGCCGUAACUAUAACGGUCCUAAGGUAGCGAAAUUCCUUGUCGGGUAAGUUCCGACCUGCACGAAUGGCGUAAUGAUGGCCAGGCUGUCUCCACCCGAGACUCAGUGAAAUUGAACUCGCUGUGAAGAUGCAGUGUACCCGCGGCAAGACGGAAAGACCCCGUGAACCUUUACUAUAGCUUGACACUGAACAUUGAGCCUUGAUGUGUAGGAUAGGUGGGAGGCUUUGAAGUGUGGACGCCAGUCUGCAUGGAGCCAACCUUGAAAUACCACCCUUUAACGUUUGAUGUUCUAACCUAGGCCCAUAAACUGGGUCGGGGACCGUGUCUGGUGGGUAGUUUGACUGGGGCGGUCUCCUCCUAAAGAGUAACGGAGGAGCACGAAGGUUGGCUAAGCAUGGUCGGACAUCAUGCGGUUAGUGCAAAGGCAUAAGCCAGCUUGACUGCGAGAGUGACGGCUCGAGCAGGUACGAAAGUAGGUCUUAGUGAUCCGGUGGUUCUGAAUGGAAGGGCCAUCGCUCAACGGAUAAAAGGUACUCCGGGGAUAACAGGCUGAUACCGCCCAAGAGUUCAUAUCGACGGCGGUGUUUGGCACCUCGAUGUCGGCUCAUCACAUCCUGGGGCUGAAGUAGGUCCCAAGGGUAUGGCUGUUCGCCAUUUAAAGUGGUACGCGAGCUGGGUUUAGAACGUCGUGAGACAGUUCGGUCCCUAUCUGCCGUGGGCGUUGGAAGAUUGAGAGGGGUUGCUCCUAGUACGAGAGGACCGGAGUGAACGCACCACUGGUGUUCGGGUUGUCAUGCCAAUGGCAUUGCCCGGUAGCUAAGUGCGGAAGAGAUAACCGCUGAAAGCAUCUAAGCGGGAAACUUGCCUCGAGAUGAGUCUUCCCUGUCGCUUUAAGCGACCUAAAGGAACGUUUAAGACUAAGACGUUGAUAGGCUGGGUGUGUAAGCGUAGCGAUACGUUGAGCUAACCAGUACUAAUGAACCGUGAGGCUUAACCUGACAACACCGAAAGUGUUUUG